AUUUAUAUAGUUUAAAUAAAACAUUUUAUUUUCAAUAAAAAAAUAAUAAAUUUUAUUUAUAAAUC
This 65-nucleotide transfer RNA is filed under the name Vespa velutina. RNAcentral describes it as "tRNA-Glu". The record is from RNAcentral. Lineage: Eukaryota; Metazoa; Arthropoda; Insecta; Hymenoptera; Vespidae. RNAcentral also lists the same sequence under 2 other names.